Molecule: ribosomal RNA, 232 nt
Filed under: Staphylococcus massiliensis
Lineage: Bacteria; Bacillati; Bacillota; Bacilli; Caryophanales; Staphylococcaceae
Description: partial 16S ribosomal RNA
Rfam family: Bacterial small subunit ribosomal RNA
Source: RNAcentral
UGGGCGUAAGCGCGCGCAGGCGGUUUGAUAAGUCUGAUGUGAAAGCCCACGGCUCAACCGGGGAGGUGCAUUGGAAACUGGCGAACUUGAGUGCAGAAGAGGAAAGUGGAAUUCCAUGUGUAGCGGUGAAAUGCGCAGAUAUAUGGAAGAACACCAGUGGCGAAGGCGACUUUCUGGUCUGUAACUGACGCUGAUGUUCGAAAGCGUGGGGAUCAAACAGGAUUAGAUACCC